CCUACGGGUGGCAGCAGUGGGGAAUAUUGGACAAUGGGGGCAACCCUGAUCCAGCCAUGCCGCGUGUGUGAAGAAGGCCCUCGGGUUGUAAAGCACUUUCAGUGAGGAAGAACGCCUGGUGGUUAAUACCCAUCAGGAAAGACAUCACUCACAGAAGAAGCACCGGCUAACUCCGUGCCAGCAGCCGCGGUAAUACGGAGGGUGCGAGCGUUAAUCGGAAUUACUGGGCGUAAAGCGCGCGUAGGUGGCUUGAUAAGCCGGUUGUGAAAGCCCCGGGCUCAACCUGGGAACGGCAUCCGGAACUGUCAAGCUAGAGUGCAGGAGAGGAAGGUAGAAUUCCCGGUGUAGCGGUGAAAUGCGUAGAGAUCGGGAGGAAUACCAGUGGCGAAGGCGGCCUUCUGGACUGACACUGACCCUGAGGUGCGAAAGCGUGGGUAGCAAACAGGAUUAGAUACCCGUGUAGUC
Molecule: ribosomal RNA, 465 nt
Filed under: Vreelandella stevensii
Lineage: Bacteria; Pseudomonadati; Pseudomonadota; Gammaproteobacteria; Oceanospirillales; Halomonadaceae
Description: partial 16S ribosomal RNA
Rfam family: Bacterial small subunit ribosomal RNA
Source: RNAcentral